GGGGGCGAAACGGCUUCGACGGGGACAAAGAAGUGCUGGUUGCAUGCCGAGUGCCCUUCGGCUCGUAAACUCGAUGGGAACUAAAUAUAAUCGCAGACGAUUAUAACUACGCCGUAGCCGCUUAGUCGGCUGCCGUCCUGCCAUUUUUUUCCUGCGGAUCUGGUAAGGGCGUCGACUAGCAGGAUAGUUCAAGGCGAAUGACUGUGUCGCCUUGAAUGAAAUUCUUACAGCCUAGCGGACCUUGCCUCAUUCCUGAUGGAGCCUCGGCCCCGCGAAAUUAAUCAUCAGGAUAAGCAUGUAGACGCCAGUGCGGAAUGUUUUCGGACGCGGGUUCGACUCCCGCCGCCUCCACCA
Molecule: transfer-messenger RNA, 354 nt
Filed under: Gammaproteobacteria (g-proteobacteria)
Lineage: Bacteria; Pseudomonadati; Pseudomonadota
Also listed under: 2 other names
Description: JABDQX01 sp013042035 Standard tmRNA
Rfam family: transfer-messenger RNA
About the family: Bacterial tmRNA, also known as 10Sa RNA or SsrA, is named for its dual tRNA and mRNA-like properties.
Source: RNAcentral